CAUGGACGAAUGUUUUCUAUUCGGGCUCGGUUGAUCAUCGAUCUAUCAACGGUGUGAGGUAACGCCUCCAACCACAUCAGUUGGAUGGUGUCCCCAACACCGCCCCUUCUCCGUCAAAAGAGGGCGCCAUCCAAUCCAUCAGCCUCUUAGCGAGCGUGAAGGGCUUCAUCUGGUGGGAUCCAUGUCUCUCGAUCAAUCAAAUUUUGUUAACUUUUUUCUUUUUGUUAAU
This 229-nucleotide long non-coding RNA is filed under the name Helianthus annuus (common sunflower). RNAcentral describes it as "sRNA HanXRQr2_Chr17g0826711". Lineage: Eukaryota; Viridiplantae; Streptophyta; Magnoliopsida; Asterales; Asteraceae. The record is from RNAcentral.